GCCUACGGGGGGCAGCAGUGGGGAAUAUUGGGCAAUGGGCGCAAGCCUGACCCAGCAACGCCGCGUGAAGGAAGAAGGCUUUCGGGUUGUAAACUUCUUUUAUUCGGGACGAAGAAAGUGACGGUACCGAAUGAAUAAGCCACGGCUAACUACGUGCCAGCAGCCGCGGUAAUACGUAGGUGGCAAGCGUUAUCCGGAUUUAUUGGGUGUAAAGGGCGUGUAGGCGGGAAUGCAAGUCAGAUGUGAAACUCAGGGCUCAACCCUGAGCCUGCAUUUGAAACUUUAUUUCUUGA
RNAcentral lists this ribosomal RNA (293 nucleotides) under uncultured bacterium. RNAcentral's name for it is "partial 16S ribosomal RNA". It matches the Rfam family "Bacterial small subunit ribosomal RNA", at positions 337 to 645 of the family's 1533-position model. The record is from RNAcentral.